Molecule: small RNA, 125 nt
Filed under: Marmota monax (woodchuck)
Lineage: Eukaryota; Metazoa; Chordata; Mammalia; Rodentia; Sciuridae
Source: RNAcentral
GCUGGGUAUGGUGGCGCAUGCCUAUAAUCCCAGCAGCUUGGGAGGCUAAGGCAGGAGGAUCUCGGGUUCGAAGCCAGCCUCAGCAAAAGCAAGUUGCUAAACAAUUCAGUGAGACCCUGUCUAUA